This 397-nucleotide ribosomal RNA is filed under the name uncultured bacterium. RNAcentral describes it as "partial 16S ribosomal RNA". It matches the Rfam family "Bacterial small subunit ribosomal RNA", at positions 338 to 732 of the family's 1533-position model. The record is from RNAcentral.
CCUACGGGGUGCAGCAGUGAGGAAUAUUGGUCAAUGGGCUUACGCCUGAACCAGCCAAGCCGCGUGAGGGAAGACUGCCCUAGGGGUUGUAAACCUCUUUUGUCAGGGAGCAACGCCGGCUACGUGUAGCCUGACUGAUAGUACCUAAAGACAAAGCAUCGGCUAACUCCGUGCCAGCAGCCGGGGGAAUACGGAGGAUGGGAGCGUGAGCCGGAUUUAUUGGGUUUAAAGGGUGCGUAGGCGGAAUGUGAAUUCAGCGGUAAAAUCACGGGGUUAAACCUCGCUCCGCAGUUGAUCCUGGCGUGCUUGAGUGGGAUAGAAGUAUGCAGAAUGCGUGGUGUAGCGGUGAAAUGCAUAGAUAUCAGGAAGAAUUCCGAUGGCGAAGGCAGCACACCGG